UACACACCGCCCGUCACACCAUGAAAGCCCUGUUGUACCAGAAGUCGCUAUGCUAACCGUAAGGGGGCAGGCGCCUAAGGUAUGGCCGGUGAUUGGGGGUG
Molecule: ribosomal RNA, 101 nt
Filed under: uncultured bacterium
Lineage: Bacteria
Description: partial 16S ribosomal RNA
Rfam family: Bacterial small subunit ribosomal RNA
Source: RNAcentral